CCUACGGGUGGGCUGCAGUGAGGAAUAUUGGUCAAUGGGCGCGAGCCUGAACCAGCCAAGUCGCGUGAGGGAGGACGGCCCUACGGGUUGUAAACCUCUUUUGCCGGGGAGCAACGGGCGUCACGUGUGGCGCCACUGAGAGUACCCGGAGAAAAAGCAUCGGCUAACUCCGUGCCAGCAGCCGCGGUAAUACGGAGGAUGCGAGCGUUAUCCGGAUUUAUUGGGUUUAAAGGGUGCGCAGGCGGGCCUUUAAGCCGGCGGUGAAAUCGCGGGGCUCAACCCCGCCGAGCCGUCGGAACUGGGGGCCUUGAGUGCGGCGGAGGCAUGCGGAAUGCGCGGUGUAGCGGUGAAAUGCAUAGAUAUCGCGCAGAACCCCGAUUGCGAAGGCAGCGUGCCGUGCCGCCACUGACGCUGAGGCACGAAAGCGCGGGGAUCGAACAGGAUUAGAUACCCCAGUAGUC
This 461-nucleotide ribosomal RNA is filed under the name uncultured bacterium. RNAcentral describes it as "partial 16S ribosomal RNA". It matches the Rfam family "Bacterial small subunit ribosomal RNA", at positions 338 to 795 of the family's 1533-position model. The record is from RNAcentral.